GUCGACGAUGAUCUCCAGCUUGCUGGGGGGAUUAGUGGCGAACGGGUGAGUAACACGUGAGUAACCUGCCCUUGACUCUGGGAUAAGCCUGGGAAACUGGGUCUAAUACCGGAUAUGACCAUUCCACGCAUGUGGUGGUGGUGGAAAGCUUUUGCGGUUUUGGAUGGACUCGCGGCCUAUCAGCUUGUUGGUGGGGUAAUGGCCUACCAAGGCGACGACGGGUAGCCGGCCUGAGAGGGUGACCGGCCACACUGGGACUGAGACACGGCCCAGACUCCUACGGGAGGCAGCAGUGGGGAAUAUUGCACAAUGGGCGGAAGCCUGAUGCAGCGACGCCGCGUGAGGGAUGACGGCCUUCGGGUUGUAAACCUCUUUCAGUAGGGAAGAAGCGUAAGUGACGGUACCUGCAGAAGAAGCGCCGGCUAACUACGUGCCAGCAGCCGCGGUAAUACGUAGGGCGCAAGCGUUAUCCGGAAUUAUUGGGCGUAAAGAGCUCGUAGGCGGUUUGUCGCGUCUGCUGUGAAAGACCGGGGCUCAACUCCGGUUCUGCAGUGGGUACGGGCAGACUAGAGUGCAGUAGGGGAGACUGGAAUUCCUGGUGUAGCGGUGAAAUGCGCAGAUAUCAGGAGGAACACCGAUGGCGAAGGCAGGUCUCUGGGCUGUAACUGACGCUGAGGAGCGAAAGCAUGGGGAGCGAACAGGA
RNAcentral lists this ribosomal RNA (703 nucleotides) under Arthrobacter sp. RNAcentral describes it as "bacterial SSU rRNA". It matches the Rfam family "Bacterial small subunit ribosomal RNA", at positions 61 to 777 of the family's 1533-position model. The record is from RNAcentral. Lineage: Bacteria; Bacillati; Actinomycetota; Actinomycetes; Micrococcales; Micrococcaceae.